UACGAAGGGGGCUAGCGUUGCUCGGAAUCACUGGGCGUAAAGGGUGCGUAGGCGGCUCGUUAAGUCAGGUGUGAAAUCCUGGAGCUCAACUCCAGAACUGCCUUUGAUACUGAAGAUCUUGAGUUCGGGAGAGGUGAGUGGAAAUGCGAGUGUAGAGGUGAAAUUCGUAGAUAUUCGCAAGAACACCAGUGGCGAAGGCGGCUCACUGGCCCGAUACUGACGCUGAGGCACGAAAGCGUGGGGAGCAAACAGG
RNAcentral lists this ribosomal RNA (253 nucleotides) under uncultured bacterium. RNAcentral's name for it is "partial 16S ribosomal RNA". It matches the Rfam family "Bacterial small subunit ribosomal RNA", at positions 524 to 776 of the family's 1533-position model. The record is from RNAcentral.